Molecule: long non-coding RNA, 3829 nt
Organism: Rosa chinensis
Lineage: Eukaryota; Viridiplantae; Streptophyta; Magnoliopsida; Rosales; Rosaceae
Exons: 7
Source: RefSeq, a predicted model, not a curated record
AAUUGGAACCAAUAGUCCCAUUUACUUCGUCAGUUCCUUCUGUCAAUACACGUAUUGCCUCUCUCUCUCUUCUCACAAAACGCGAAACCCUGUCUUCUGUAUCACUGGGUUACUCUCUCCUCCAUCCUCCGUCCUAGUCUUCUGGCAAACUCCUCUGCGAAAUUGAAAUGGGUUUGUUUGUAAUUGCGAGUUUCUCUUAGAUUUAGGGUUCUUAGGGUUCCAUUCUCUUAGAUUGUUCAUCUUCCUCUUCAGCGACAGGGGAGAUAGAGUGCCCUAGAUCCACUUUCUCUCUCCUCCUCGCCUUCAAACUAGGGUCAAUUGAAGAGAUACUGAAGACGACGGUCUCCAAGACGGCGGAGGCGAACGUGCUGUGCUACGCCUACGAGGCGGCGCUAUGCUGGGUUAAUUUGUACAUGUAUAAAUAUUAGCAGAUUGAGGUCUAAGAUACGGCACCACUGUGUUUAGAAUCGAUAAGAGCAGCAGAGAAAGAAUGACACCCUUAUCGACUCUAUUGACAGUGCCCUUAUUCUUCGAUUUGUUUGACGGAGGAGGACUUGUCACGGUGGCCAUGAAGGUGUGCUCAAGCGAUUGGCUAAUAUUAUUCUCGGCAGAGGAGGCAGGCACGAAAGCCCUAUACGCUCGCACAGUCCCCCAACACAACAGUCAAAUUCAUGGCCUCACUCUUAAGCUCAACCCAACCACUUCCACCGGGGUUUAACCGAGGACAGUCUCCGGCCACCAAACCAGCAACUCUUCGGGUAUAGACGAAGCCCCAUGCUCAACCCACUAGUAAUACCAGUGCAGAUAACAACGCUAGACUGGCAGUAACACAGAGAAAAGCAGUAGAGCUUCAGAGGCUGAAAGAUAAGGAGGCCAAGGACAGAAAGGAGGAGACCAACAAGAAGAUAGCUUCUCGGAAAGCAAUUUCGGUCUUUUUGCGGAGAGAAGCUACCGAAUCCCACAUCGAGAAGAAGAAAGGCUCCAGGAGACUGCUUCCGAGGAUUGUGCUCGAAGCCCUCCAUGAGAGAAUCACUGCUCUGUGGUAGGAGUCUGCUCUCAAGGUCACUUCUUUUUACCUUGGUUUUAUUCUGACUUGGUUUUCGAGAAUUGGGUGUUUGAAAUUUCUAUCUGGGUUGUGCUUGUUAAGUUGUUCUGCAUUUGGUUGAAGGGUUUACAAUGCUAGGAUUUAAGCAAUCUAUGUGCUUGGUUAGCUUGAGGUCUUUCCAUUUGAUCGAUUUUCGCGUAGUUAAUGAGUUUAUGUAGGAAUGUAUAUAAUAGUGUUAAUCCUGGUGUUUACAAUAAGCUAAUAGUCAUGCUAGGAAAAUGUAAACAACCAGAAAAAGCUGAGAAGCUUUUUCAAGCUAUGAUUGACGAAGGCUGUGGUGUCAGCCAUGAACCUUAUACUACUCUUAUAUCUGCCUAUGGUAGGAGCAGUCUCUUUGACAAAGCAUUUUCCCUCCUUGAGCAGAUGAAGAAUACUCUUGAUUGCCAACCUGACGUCCAUACUUAUUCUAUCCUCAUAAAAUCUUGCCUGCAGGUUUUUGCAUAUGACAAAGUACAGGCUCUGCUUUUAGAUAUGGAAAUUCAGCACAUUAGACCCAACACCAUCACAUACAAUACCCUAAUAGAUGCUUACGGAAAUCUAAAAAGUAUUGCCCACUUAUCCUUCCUAUCCAAAAUUUUGAAUGCUAUUUUAGUUGCUGUGAAUAAUCUACUGUAAGGUUUUAUAUCUGUGCUCAAACAUUUCUUUUUCUAUUCAUAAACUAUAUAGUUGUGCGUUGUCAUUGCGAGUACCAAAACAGGUUUGGAUAGAAUUUUGGACAUUAGUUUUAGGAGAUCUUAUGCCUAGUUUAAUAUUGAUAAACACAUGGGAGACAGACACUCAACAAUUUCCAUUGGUUUCCAGCUUUUUAUGCUCCUACAUAGAUGUCUUCCACCCUUAUCAUAAUCAUUUCUUUUCCGGUCAAUGACAUAACAGAAUAGAUUUUCAGUUUUUUCCUUGUAAUUUCUCUCUCUCUCUCUCUCUCUCUCUCUCUCUCUCUCUUCUUGGAUUGUACUGUUAUAAGUUUCCCUUAUUUUCCUCUCAUCCAAAAAGAAAAUCGUUUCUCUUGCAUUCUUUUCAUUCAGGUCAAUAAGUGUAAUUCAGUUUGAAGGAAUUACCCAUUCUUAAUGUCUUUCUCUUUCCUAAAAGAUUUGCAAAGAUUUGCAGAGGAAUUACCCAUUUAGUUUGGUAGCUGUUUAGCCUUCAUGUAAGUAAUGGCAAGUCUUUGAAUUAGAUUUCUAAGGCUGGAUGCAAAUGUAGGGUUCUUUUUGUUUAUUUGUUUAAUCAGGUAAGAGUCUAGAGAGGAUGUUAUUUCAAAUUGAAUUCCAUGUAACAGUAAAAAGGCAAUUUGACAUAACUGUGGUGCGUGUCCCUAAGAUAUUGAACAGAUAUUACAAUUCCUGACUUACUGAGUAUUUGUGAAAUGUUUGGAUGUGUGGUUUUGCUCACCAAGAAAGAGUAUAAUGUUUGAGUAGCAUUUUUAGCGGAUAAUUGAGGAUUAUAAAUGUGUCAGCUCUUUUUAUAUAUCAGCUUUUGUAAAAAACUGAUUAGUCAACCCUUAAGAUUACUUUUAUUUAGCUAAAUUGACGUAGACUUAUGCAGUGUUUUGCAAGAAAUGAAUUGCAAUGCAGUAAAUGUUUGGAUAUUGAUUAAUUUUGUCUCUGAACAUUCUUUUGUUUUGUUUGUUGUUCCAAUUUUGUUUUUAAUUUUAAGUUCUGUUUUUUAUGAAGUUGACAUUUUGAUUGUGAUUUUUGAUUUCAGAGUUUUGGAACAUUGUGCACUCAGAUUUUUGUAAUCUUUCAAAUUCAGGCAUGACUGUAUACAAGACUGUAUUUGAUUUAGUGUGUCUGCUCUGUUUGUUUUCUGAAAUUUGAAAUAAGUUUAUGUUUACUUAGUAGAAUUAACGACCUUAUUCUCACCAAACAUACUACUGUCUUUUUAGCUUUUUAUCAGCUGCUAAAUUUACAAGACCUUUCUCUUUGUUUCUGGCAUCAACUGAUGACCAAAGCAAUUGUUCAUUUUUGUUUUGUUGACUAAAAGUUGCGUGAAAGCCAAGAUUGGGAAGCUACUGUUAACUAUUGUCAGAGAACUCUUAUUAUUUGCACUUUCAGUUUUGACACCUCCACAUUUGUGUCAUUUGAAGAACUAUGUAUUGGUGGAGCUAUCAUUGGCAAGUUUCCUGUUUCGAUUGUGGUUCUGGCAUUGAAAGAAUCACAAAAGAUCUUCUCAUAAUACUUCAUUGAGAUGAUGAAGCAGAGGCAUAAGAUCGAGAGGGAACAGAACAUUGGGAUGAAGCAGAGGCAUAAGAUCGAGAGGGAACAGAACAUUGGGGAAGAAGUUGGAUGGUCCAAAAAUGUGAAAGUUGCAAAGGGGAUUGCUAGCAAGUAAAAAAUGCAUGAUAGGAGAUUUGGAGUUCACUAGAAAACUCUGCCUGCACUGAUCAAAGAACACGAAUUCUGGAAUUCAGGACAAGGAACUUGCUUCUAUGAUCGAGAGUGUUUCCGAGAAACAGCAUUUUACCGUGAAAUGGUUUUAACUGCCGAGACUGGAUGUGAUUUUAGUACAAGAUGGAUGAGGAGCCAUAUAUGUAGGAGUGGAUUGAGCAAUUGGAAAGCAGUGACCGAUUUAUGUAGGAACCAUAUAUGUAGCAACUGCAUAUGUGCAUAUUUUUGGAAUAAAUAUAUAUUGUAUCUGCUUUUGCUGUUUUUCAUUGUUAGUUAGAAUGCAGCAGUCAUCAAGCUGCUUUUUUUUUUUUUAUUGUAUAGAUACUUGAAUGUAUGGAUGAUU